RNAcentral lists this ribosomal RNA (440 nucleotides) under uncultured bacterium. Its description in RNAcentral is "partial 16S ribosomal RNA". It matches the Rfam family "Bacterial small subunit ribosomal RNA", at positions 338 to 795 of the family's 1533-position model. The record is from RNAcentral.
CCUACGGGAGGCAGCAGUGAGGAAUAUUGGUCAAUGGGCGGGAGCCUGAACCAGCGACGCCGCGUGAGUGAAGAAGGAUUUCGGUAUGUAAAGCUCUAUCAGCAGGGAAGAAAAUGACGGUACCUGAUUAAGAAGCCCCGGCUAAUUACGUGCCAGCAGCCGAGGUAAUACGUAGGGGGCAAGCGUUAUCCGGAUUUACUGGGUGUAAAGGGAGCGUAGACGGCAGCACAAGUCUGGAGUGAAAUGCCGGGGCUUAACCCCGGAACUGCUUUGGAAACUGGGCAGCUAGAGUGCAGGAGAGGUAAGUGGAAUUCCUGGUGUAGCGGUGAAAUGCGUAGAUAUUAGGAGGAACACCAGUGGCGAAGGCGGCUUACUGGACUGUAACUGACGUUGAGGCUCGAAAGCGUGGGGAGCAAACAGGAUUAGAUACCCGAGUAGUC